This 482-nucleotide ribosomal RNA is filed under the name uncultured bacterium. RNAcentral describes it as "partial 16S ribosomal RNA". It matches the Rfam family "Bacterial small subunit ribosomal RNA", at positions 30 to 507 of the family's 1533-position model. The record is from RNAcentral.
AUUGAACGCUGGCGGCAUGCCUUACACAUGCAAGUCGAACGGUAACAGGUCUUCGGAUGCUGACGAGUGGCGCACGGGUGCGUAAUACAUCGGAACGUGCCCAGACCUGGGUGAUAAUGAGGCGAAAGCUUUGCUAAUACCGCAUACGAUCUAAGGCUGACAGCUGGUGACCGCAAGGCCUUGUGCGUCCGGAGCGGCCGAAGUCAGCUUAGGUAGGUGGUGGGAUAAAAGCUUACCAAGCCGACGAUCUGUAGCUGGUCUGAGAGGACGACCAGCCACACUGGGACUGAGACACGGCCCAGACUCCUACGGGAGGCAGCAGUGGGGAAUAUUGGACAAUGGGCGCAAGCCUGAUCCAGCAAUGCCGCGUGCAUGAUGAAGGCCUUCGGGUUGUAAACUGCUUUUGUACGGAACGAAAAGGCUCAGGCUAAUACCUGGGGCACAUGACGGUACCGAAAGAAUAAGCACCGGCUAACUACGUG